RNAcentral lists this non-coding RNA (103 nucleotides) under Gracilibacillus massiliensis. RNAcentral's name for it is "SAM riboswitch (S box leader)". It matches the Rfam family "SAM riboswitch aptamer (S box leader)". From Rfam's summary of the family: The SAM riboswitch is found upstream of a number of genes which code for proteins involved in methionine or cysteine biosynthesis in Gram-positive bacteria. The SAM riboswitch acts at the level of transcription termination control. The record is from RNAcentral. Lineage: Bacteria; Bacillati; Bacillota; Bacilli; Caryophanales; Bacillaceae.
UCUUAUCCAGAGAGGUGGAGGGACUGGCCCUUUGAAGCCUCGGCAACAGACUUAGUAGAAGUACUGUGCCAAUUCCAGCAAGCAACUAGCUUGAUAGAUAAGA